RNAcentral lists this microRNA precursor (247 nucleotides) under Musa acuminata subsp. malaccensis (wild Malaysian banana). RNAcentral describes it as "MIR159 microRNA precursor family". It matches the Rfam family "MIR159 microRNA precursor family". Lineage: Eukaryota; Viridiplantae; Streptophyta; Magnoliopsida; Zingiberales; Musaceae. The record is from Rfam by way of RNAcentral.
AGUGGGGUAGAAGAGCUCCAUUCAGUCCAAUAAAGAGGGUUGAGGAGUGGUUUAGAGCUGCCAUCCCAUGGAUUAGGCCAAGCCUUGUGCUUGUUUCACAGUGGAGAAGUCACGCAUGGUGAUGGAGGUUGCCUCUUGAAGAUGAUAAUGUGGGGGAUAAGCCUUGGCCAAUGCAUGGUGUGGGAGCAACUCCGGCCACUGGCUUAGCCCGCUAAUUGGACUGAAGGGAGCUCCCAAUCAUUCCACG